GUGCUCACUUUGGCACCACAUAUACUAAAAUUGGAAUGGUACAGAGAUUAGCAUGGCCCUUGAGCAAGGAUGACGCAUAAAUCUGUGAAAUGUUCCAUAUUAAA
Molecule: small nuclear RNA, 104 nt
Organism: Cavia porcellus (domestic guinea pig)
Lineage: Eukaryota; Metazoa; Chordata; Mammalia; Rodentia; Caviidae
Source: Ensembl